Molecule: ribosomal RNA, 484 nt
Filed under: uncultured bacterium
Lineage: Bacteria
Description: partial 16S ribosomal RNA
Rfam family: Bacterial small subunit ribosomal RNA
Source: RNAcentral
AUUGAACGCUGGCGGCAUGCUUUACACAUGCAAGUCGAACGGCAGCGCGGGCUUCGGCCUGCCCUCGUGUGGCCAACGGGUGAGUAAUUCAUCGGAACGUGCCCAGUCGUUGGGGCUAGCUCGACUUCAGCCGGCUUAAUAUCGCAUCCGACCUGAUUUUGAACGCGGUGGAUCUUCAGUCCUCGCGCUUCUGGCUGUGCCUUUGACAGAUUAGCUAGUUGGUGGGGUAAAGGCCUACCAAGGCGACGAUCUGUAGCAGGUCUGAGAGGACGACCAGCCACACUGGGACUGAGACACGGCCCAGACUCCUACGGGAGGCAGCAGUAGGGAAUUUUGGACAAUGGGCGAAAGCCUGAUCCAGCAAUGCCGCGUGUGUGAUGAAGGUCUUCGGGUUGUAAAGCACUUUUGGCGGGAACGAAAAGGAGUGUGAGAAUACCACGGUUCGAUGACGGUACCCGAAGAAUAAGCACCGGCUAACUACGUG